GUGGGGAAUCUUGCGCAAUGGGCGAAAGCCUGACGCAGCCAUGCCGCGUGGAUGAUGAAGGUCUUAGGAUUGUAAAAUCCUUUCACCGGUGAAGAUAAUGACUGUAGCCGGAGAAGAAGCCCCGGCUAACUUCGUGCCAGCAGCCGCGGUAAUACGAAGGGGGCUAGCGUUGCUCGGAUUUACUGGGCGUAAAGGGCGCGUAGGCGGACAUUUAAGUCAGGGGUGAAAUCCCGGGGCUCAACCUCGGAACUGCCUAUGAUACUGGGUGUCUUGAGUAUGAGAGAGGUGUGUGGAACUCCGAGUGUAGAGGUGAAAUUCGUAGAUAUUCGGAAGAACACCAGUGGCGAAGGCGACACACUGGCUCAUUACUGACGCUGAGGCGCGAAAGCGUGGGGAGCAAACAGGAUUAGAUACCCCUGUAGUCC
Molecule: ribosomal RNA, 425 nt
Filed under: uncultured bacterium
Lineage: Bacteria
Description: partial 16S ribosomal RNA
Rfam family: Bacterial small subunit ribosomal RNA
Source: RNAcentral